CUGCGACAAAAAAACCUACGACGGUUAACCAGCGAUAGGAAAACCGUGCGGCCGCACGUAGGAGCGACGAGUCAUGUUAUCGAGCUAGGUCUCCCUUCGUGGCCGCCCAACAUCCCUGUGCCGCCUCGCUUCAGUCGCCGCCCUACAUCCUCGCCGCCCUACAUCCUCGCCGCCCUCCAUCCUGGUCGACGUCCCCCGCCCCGCAUCACUCGCCUUCCUCCAUCCGCGUCGAUCCUGGACAAGGUCGCCGCUGCCCUCCAUCAAUUCAUCGCCGAGUUGAACAUCUCGACGAUCCGGCGCUGAUCCGGCGCUGGUCCUGGAUUAGGUCGCCGACGCCAUCCAUCACUUCGCCGCCGCGCUGAACUCCUCACCCUUGAUACAGGAUUCGGCGCCUUGAUACAGGAUUCGGCGCUGAUCCUGGACGCGGAUACGCGGACACGUCCAGGACCUGGCCAAAACACGUCCUAGAUCCGAAAAAUAGGUAUACAAACCAUCUCAAACCGGGAGAGAGGGAGGAAGGGAGGAGGAGGGGGAGGCUGCAGCUGCGAGGCUACGAUGGGAGACGUUGGGGAUGCCCACUGGACGUUGGUGUCCUUCUCAACACAAACCCAUGGAGUGCCCAACCCGGAUUGAUGCAGAUUUCUUGGGUGCUGAUUUUGAGUUGUAAAGACUUUGCCACCGAUGACACGCUAUAUGCGGACGCCACAUCCUUUCUUCUGCACGCAGCGCACGACAUUCCGGUUCGUUUAUGUGUGCUUUUCAGUAUUGUACAUGAGGUACCAUGAGGGGUGGUGACCCAGACCUUGCUGGCGUGGCGAAAGAGCCGGUUCCUGUGAUCAGGAUGAUGGAGGCUCUUGGGUCACAGCCCACAUGUCUGCUGGAGAUGGAGUCUCCAUCGUCAUAUGGCUGCUGAGAUGAGUUGCUCAAAUGAUUAAAAUUAUGUUUGCGCUCCAGGUCUAGAUGAGCAAGUUAUAAUCAUAUGGUAGUCUCAAGAAAGUUCAGGACAAGAAGCAUGUUCCACUGAUGUAACGAGACUGGCUGUCUUGCACACACCACAAGUGAAGGUUUUGGAACUCCAUUCGCCAAUAGUAUCAGUGAAUCAAACACUCCAAUCUCUCUGAAUUCUAACCCAGUAAGUUGUGAUUGCAUAUGACACCUUAUUUUUAGUGAUCAUUCUCUAUGGUUUAUUAUUAGUUCUGGAUCAGUUUAUAGUAUAAGUCGUUUAUUAUUCAGUUUUUUUUGUUUCUCUUCAGACUUUAGAUUCUUCAGUUAUCUGAUUCUUACUCCCUUUCGUUCAUUAGUGUUCAUUUUUGAUUCAGUCCUUAGAUUCAUUAUCCUAGAUCAGUUUGUUGGUGCAGCGCUUGCAGUAUUGAGAGGCUUUCUUCUGACAUCUCCUCUUGCAAGUACGAGCUACGUGUGCAGACUGCGUAAGCAUCGAGCGGCGGGCCAUGGACGUGGACAUGGAUUCUGUUUUUUGGUCGCUGUAGCUGAAAGUUGUGUGGUUGUUGCUCCACCGAUAUUAUAAUGGAGCUCCUAAUUGUGAUACAUUAAUUUGCAUUCAAUCACAUAUAAUAUGUCCAAGAUUUUAGCUCCAUGAUCACUCAUCUAACUGUGGUUGUCUGCUUUUUAGCCAAUAUCAAAAUGUUCACUCUCAACUCAGUUUUUCUGGUAGAUGUGCUAGGAUCAAAUGGGUUGUCAUUUCUAAGCUGCAUGGUUUUUAGGCUUUAUAGCUCAUGGAGGUGAAUCUGGAAAUGAUCAUAGUGUCAAUUUAUAUUUUUCUCCUGGAAAUGGGAUUAUCCCCACAACAGUACUUCAUGAACUUUACACUCUUCAUGGUUGCCAGGUGCCAGCAAUAAUUAGGAAAUUAGUAGACCAAUCCUUUUUUAUGGAACUCUAAUCUAGAAGAGGUACUCUUCAAAUUGUGGUGUUACUUGAGUGUUGCGGAUACACAUACAUUUGGGUUAUUUUAAAAAAAUGAGCAUAUGUUUGUCUUAAUGUUAAAUGCAGCUUCCAAAAUAGCUCAUGGUGAUUUCUUAUGUUCUUUACUGAAUUAGCGCUGUAUUUGGACAGUCAAUCUUUCCUGGUCGCUGCUACUUUUAGUGUGGAUAAAGAUAUAUCAAGUUGCCACCUGGCAACGAUGCUUUUUGUCCAUGCUAGCAGUAUGAAUGAUGAAGGAGAAGAGCAGCGAACACAAAUCUUUCUCGCGGCUAUUGAUUUUAUACACAUCGGCUGCAUCAUGUGAUAUGGUAAACCAACAGAGGUAUGUGGAUAAUCCAAGCUGCUUAUUUUCCGUCCGACACUUUAACUCCUUCGGUGACCUGAUUGCUAACAAAAUGUCACAAUAGGUUUUGUUCGAAGUGUCAGUUCAAAAUAUGGUGAUUGAAUUUUUUUAUCUCACGGAUCAUACUUUAAAGUUCAUAAUUUUUAUAAUGCUCUGUAAUGGAGUCCUGUUGGUUGUGUAAUGCUUGAGAGAGUUACAUGUUCUCUCCAUUAACCCCUUUAUUUUUUGCAAAUCAAUUACCUUCUUCAUGUGUUUCAGCUGCUAGGGCUGAAGGCCGAAGUAAUGUAUGGUAAUCAAGCUGUUAAAUAGAGAAUUUGGGAUUUACACAAGCUGUUAUAUUGUUCAAUGCUCCAGCAUGAAGUUGCUCCGCAUGACUCCUUCAUCUUCCCCGAGGCUCUCCUCCUGAAACCCCGCCUUGCCUGAGCCGCUGAGCGAUGUCACUGGGACAGAACUGAUGAGUACGGCUAUUUUGUGACGGGUGACGAGGAGGAAUAUCGUAAUGACUUCAAGAUUCAUGUAUCCAAGAUCAGGAAGCGGAAGCGCCGCCUCAUGCGUGAGCAGGCGUGCGUCCACUCGAGGCCAUUAGGGCCACGCUCACUGGCGACCUAGCUGAUUUCAUCCACGCUCACUCAUGCAUGUAGGGAUUACAUAGUUGCAUGGAGUUAUUUGGUUAGUGGGCUGAGCCGUGCAUGUUGGUUGAGCACCCGAGUCAAGUAGUGGCCGGUUGGCCGGGCCAUCCGCAUCAUGAAGUGACUCUAGGACGUGGCCGUUUUGGCGUGAGUGCAUGGGUCCUUGUGUAUAUAUGUACUGCUUUGCGUGAAAAAAAAAUGUUGGAGCUGAUCGCCAGCUCCUCUUCUUCUUCCUCUAGCUACCUCUCAAAGCUCACGGAAGAACAAAAGAACACAGAUAUUUGGUGGCCGCUGUAUCACACAGCCGACCCUUUUCUCUUCUCUGUAUUUCUCUCCUCAAAGCAAAUAUGCAUACAAGUGCUUAAGUAGACUCACGCUCACGUAGCCGGGCCACACACUCGCCCACUAACUGCAUGCACGCACCCACGCACACCACUAACUAAUGACUUGAUCUUCUCCUAGAAUCACUCUAGGAACCACACGACCCGGCCACUCAUGCAGCAGCAGCUAACAACCUCGGACAUGCAUACACAGCAGCCUCUCGCCACCGUUCGGCAUCUCGCCAUGCGCCAUAUCUCACGGCGCCUCGCAUCUCACCUCCUGCAUGUUCUCCGAAGCUUCACCUGCUACAACUACCUUUAUGCAUGGACAAGCAAACUAAUAUGCAGAUACAUGUGAAUCAAGAUUAAAAAAGCUAACAGUCUCCUCGACCAAGAAAAUGGCUUUGCACAGAGGUCUGCACCCCACUUCAUCAUAACUGUUGCCAAAUCUCUUACUGAUAUAAUUGUCUGUGCUUUUUAUUUUGUUUUAUGGAUCCAGUCUUUGAUCUCAUUUAUGACCGGCUAAGAUCGGUAUCGUUUUUGCGUUCCUAGGUGCUAGAUAAUAUUUUGUGCAGAUUUGAGAGAGAGAUCUGUGUUGGUGAUGAUCAACCCAAUUUAGUGGCAACAAAAUAAUGGUGACAAGCAGUUCAUUUUAGAAUAUACAUAUGAACUGGUGGAAUAGAAAACAAUUUCUUCUAUACAUGGAAAGAAUUCCUUGUACACUUAGUUCCAUAUUCGAGUGCAUUUUCUUGGUGAUGUGCUUCACCUUUUUUUCUUGUACCUGACUAGAAGGGUAAUCAAAAUACUUUUUUGUUUGAGUGUGUUUCCUUCUUCCUUUCCUAUAUAAUUUCUUAUUCCAUUUGGUCCUAUUCGAUUCAGAAUCCUUCCAGCGAACAAGUUGCCCCGCUCAUUCUCAUAAUUGCGUGAAGAUAAACAAAAUGCAUGAAGAACCAAGCAGAUAUAGGAGCGAUGUCAACUCUCCCUGGGUGAACUCCGGUACAGCUCCAGUGUAUGUACAACAGGGCUUCAUGGAGUCGUUCAGUUCAUGUUCAAGACCUGAAGAUAGCAAUGCACUGGAUGACAAGGUUACUCGAUAGAGCGGAUGCUUUCUCUGCUCUAGAUGGUGAAGUCGGCAAAAGAUUGAAUGGCAUGGUUCAUGUCCCUGUAAGUAGUUGUAAUCACUUCCUACUGAUCCAACAUAAUGUUAAAAUUGAUUCACAACACAAAGGGGUAAAGUACAGCUUUUUUCAGUUUCUACAGAUUUAAGGAGUUUUGACUUCCACCUUGGGUGUCAUUAACAAAGUGUUCUUGCUUAGGAUGAGCAAGCUACAAGCCAUAGUACAUUUUACCAAAACACUUCAAGUCUUUAAUGGUGGAGUACAUAUGAAUAAUUAGCAGCCACACUACAUUUUCAUGGGCAUACGUACUUGAACUCUUUUCAUAUGUUAUUCUCAACACCGUGGCUCAUAAAUUUUAUUAGUAAUUAUUAUUCAGAAGGUUUCCUGGUCAGUAAAAGACAUUUGUGAUUCAGAACAUCGAGAGUAUGGAGGGUUUGAGCACAGAAAGAAGUUUCGUUCUGGUUACUACCUUAUGAAUAUAUUUGUAGAUAAUUCGUUUUGCAAGUUUUUGGGCAGGAUUUCCCCACAAUUUGGUCAUGUCAUUUGAGACAAGGACAUCAUACCUUUUGAAUUUGUUGAGUGAACCACAUUGAGAAGUCUUGCCACUGGACAGGCAUCAGGGGACACACUGAGGAGGAGCGGCGCCGCAGGGCCGCCGCCGUCCGGAGCACCUUUGGAGGGAUCCGCGGACAAGAAGUCACCAGGGCUGGCCAUCGUGCUGGAGAAGUGUGGAGGAUGUUAUGGAAAAUGACCAAAAGGCCCAGUUCGGAACACCUGCUGACUGUUUCAGCCCGGGAGUCCAGCCGAAUUGGGAGGCAAGGUCUACGAGAUGAUGAUGAACGCCCUUGGCGGGAGAUGGGGAAGAUCUGAGACAAAUGGAUAACUUGUUUUCUAGAAUGCAUCGCAUAGAUGUGUAAUUUUGAAAUGGCCGCCGAAGAUAUUUCCAUUAUCAGGCUAGACUUGAUUGGAGGGAUAUAACUAAUCUAAGAUUUGUUUGAUUGAGAUCAUGCAUAUAUGAAAUAUUGUAUAUCUCAUACAAC
RNAcentral lists this ribosomal RNA (5388 nucleotides) under Triticum aestivum (bread wheat). RNAcentral describes it as "partial small subunit ribosomal RNA". The record is from RNAcentral. Lineage: Eukaryota; Viridiplantae; Streptophyta; Magnoliopsida; Poales; Poaceae.